CACCAGGUGACUGAAAGCAAGUAUUGGUCUCUUAAACCAUAUUAUAGUAAGUAUAGCAACUACUCCUAGUG
RNAcentral lists this transfer RNA (71 nucleotides) under Glyptotermes angustus. RNAcentral describes it as "tRNA-Lys". Lineage: Eukaryota; Metazoa; Arthropoda; Insecta; Blattodea; Kalotermitidae. The record is from RNAcentral.